Molecule: ribosomal RNA, 497 nt
Filed under: uncultured bacterium
Lineage: Bacteria
Description: partial 16S ribosomal RNA
Rfam family: Bacterial small subunit ribosomal RNA
Source: RNAcentral
GAUGAACGCUGGCGGCGUGCCUAAUACAUGCAAGUCGAGCGAACAGACGAGGAGCUUGCUCCUCUGACGUUAGCGGCGGACGGGUGAGUAACACGUGGAUAACCUACCUAUAAGACUGGGAUAACUUCGGGAAACCGGAGCUAAUACCGGAUAAUAUAUUGAACCGCAUGGUUCAAUAGUGAAAGACGGUUUUGCUGUCACUUAUAGAUGGAUCCGCGCCGCAUUAGCUAGUUGGUAAGGUAACGGCUUACCAAGGCAACGAUGCGUAGCCGACCUGAGAGGGUGAUCGGCCACACUGGAACUGAGACACGGUCCAGACUCCUACGGGAGGCCGCAGUAGGGAAUCUUCCGCAAUGGGCGAAAGCCUGACGGAGCAACGCCACGUGAGUGAUGAAGGUCUUCGGAUCGUAAAACUCUGUUAUGAGGGAAGAACAAAUGUGUAAGUAACUAUGCACGUCUUGACGGUACCUAAUCAGAAAGCCACGGCUAACUACGUG